This 109-nucleotide microRNA precursor is filed under the name Zea mays. RNAcentral describes it as "MIR5565 microRNA precursor family". It matches the Rfam family "MIR5565 microRNA precursor family". Lineage: Eukaryota; Viridiplantae; Streptophyta; Magnoliopsida; Poales; Poaceae. The record is from Rfam by way of RNAcentral.
ACUCUAGUAUUGACUCCAAUCCACAUGUAUUGACGUGGAUUGGGGUUUAACUUAAACUAAUUUACACCCUAAUCCACCUCGUCACAUGUGGAUUGUGGUCAAUACUAGA